This 311-nucleotide ribosomal RNA is filed under the name uncultured bacterium. RNAcentral describes it as "bacterial SSU rRNA". It matches the Rfam family "Bacterial small subunit ribosomal RNA", at positions 71 to 397 of the family's 1533-position model. The record is from RNAcentral.
AAACCUAGCUUGCUAGAAGUGGAUUAGUGGCGCACGGGUGAGUAAUGCAUAGGUUAUGUGCCCCAUAGUCUGGGAUAGCCACUGGAAACGGUGAUUAAUACCGGAUACUCCUUACGAGGGAAAGUUUUUCGCUAUGGGAUCAGCCUAUGUCCUAUCAGCUUGUUGGUGAGGUAAUGGCUCACCAAGGCUAUGACGGGUAUCCGGCCUGAGAGGGUGAACGGACACACUGGAACUGAGACACGGUCCAGACUCCUACGGGAGGCAGCAGUAGGGAAUAUUGCUCAAUGGGCGAAAGCCUGAAGCAGCAACGC